AUGAAAGAUCGACUUGACUCUCCGUUGCACUUGGUUGCAUACUUACUGUAUCCAUAUUAUAGCUAUGCUGAUACUAAUAUUUUUGAUGAUGGGACAAUAACCGAAGGGUUCAUUAGCUGUGUGGAGACCUUUUAUUAUGGUGAUGAUGACAAGCAAGAUCAAGCUGUCAAUUUUGAAUUAAAGAGGUUCCAGAAUAGAGAAGGAUCAUUUGCAAAGAAUCUUGCGAGGAGUUGUCGGAAUUUUGAUUAUAAUGCAGCAUCUUGGUGGAGGCUCUAUGGAACUGAAGCACCAGCUCUACAAAGGAUGGCUGUGAGAAUCCUCUCAUUGACCUCAAGUUCUUCAGUCUGUGAAAGGAAUUGGAGUACCUUCGAAAAUAUUCAUACAAAGAAAAGAAAUAGGCUAACUACAGAACGUCUAAACUCUCUUGUGUUCAUACAAUUCAACUCUAGAAUGAUGGCCAAGAAACAAAUGAUCAAGGAGAAGAAGAUCAUUGAUGUCCUCUUGUCCGCUGAAACUACCGAAGCUCAAGGUUUUGUUUUUGAGGGCGGAGAUGAUUAUGCAGAAGUCGUCUAUAGGGAUGAUGAUGAGGAGGAGAUGGAUAGUACAGGGAUGCCAGGGAGUGGCAUUGGAGAAGCGAUGGGAGGCAAUGAACUGCUUGAGCCACGUAGAAGUGUGAGACUAAGACAACUUUAUGAAGAAGAAGAAUUCGAGUCUGAAGAAGAGGAGUUUGAUGAUGAUGAGGAGAUGCAUUCAGAUGAGGAGAAUGACUAUUGA
Molecule: ribosomal RNA, 774 nt
Filed under: Triticum aestivum (bread wheat)
Lineage: Eukaryota; Viridiplantae; Streptophyta; Magnoliopsida; Poales; Poaceae
Description: partial small subunit ribosomal RNA
Source: RNAcentral